AACGAACGCUGGCGGCAUGCCUAACACAUGCAAGUCGAACGAGACCUUCGGGUCUAGUGGCGCACGGGUGCGUAACGCGUGGGAACCUGCCCUUAGGUUCGGAAUAACUCCCCGAAAGGGGUGCUAAUACCGGAUAAUGUCUUCGGACCAAAGAUUUAUCGCCUUUGGAUGGGCCCGCGUUGGAUUAGCUAGUUGGUAGGGUAAAAGCCUACCAAGGCGACGAUCCAUAGCUGGUCUGAGAGGAUGAUCAGCCACACUGGGACUGAGACACGGCCCAGACUCGACAGGGAGGAAGCGGUGGAGAAUCGCCGACGGGGGUAAGACGGACGAGCGUGCGCAGCGGGGUUCGUGAGGACGCCCUCAGGGUUGGAAUCUGCUGCUACGGGGGAAGAAAACGACAGCGCAGGGAGAAGAGGCUCCCGCACCCGCAGCGCAAGGAGCCGCGGUAAUAGCAGGAAGCGCCCCCUCCCCAAC
This 474-nucleotide ribosomal RNA is filed under the name uncultured bacterium. Its description in RNAcentral is "partial 16S ribosomal RNA". It matches the Rfam family "Bacterial small subunit ribosomal RNA", at positions 34 to 540 of the family's 1533-position model. The record is from RNAcentral.